RNAcentral lists this ribosomal RNA (503 nucleotides) under uncultured bacterium. Its description in RNAcentral is "partial 16S ribosomal RNA". It matches the Rfam family "Bacterial small subunit ribosomal RNA", at positions 29 to 507 of the family's 1533-position model. The record is from RNAcentral.
AACGAACGCUGGCGGCGUGCCUAACACAUGCAAGUCGAACGAGAAAGGGGCUUCGGCUCCGAGUAAAGUGGCGCACGGGUGAGUAACACGUGGGUAACCUGCCUCUAAGAUUGGGAUAACUCGUCGAAAGAUGAGCUAAUACCGAAUAAGACCACAGUUCCCGCGGGAACAGGGGUCAAAGGUAGCCUCUGCUUGCAAGCUAUCACUUAGAGAUGGGCCUGCGCACCAUUAGCUAGUUGGUAGGGUAACGGCCUACCAAGGCAAAGAUGGUUAGCUGGUCUGAGAGGAUGAACAGCCACACUGGAACUGGGACACGGUCCAGACUCCUACGGGAGGCAGCAGUGGGGAAUAUUGCGCAAUGGGCGAAAGCUUGACGCAGCAACGCCGCGUGAGUGAUGAAGGCCUUCGGGUCGUAAAGCUCUGUCGGGAGGAACGAAUGCUCCUGAGGUUAACAGCCUCGGGAGGUGACGGUACCUUCAAAGGAAGCACCGGCUAACUCUGUG